GGCGCGACCGCGGGCGCGGCCGGCGGCGGCUUUGACGGCGGGACCGGGGUGGCGGCCGGCGCGGGGGUCGCUGGGGUCGGCGGCGAGUUGGCUGGCGCCGCGGGGGUGGCCGUGGGCGCGAGCGCUGCCGGUGUCGUCGGUGCAGCAGGUGUCGUCGGCGCAGCAGGAGUCGUCGGCGCUGCCGGUGUCGUCGGUGCAGCUGGUGUCGUCGGUGCAGCAGGUGUCGUGGGCGCAGCCGGUGUCGUCGGUGCAGCAGGUGUCGUCGGCGUCGCAGGAGUCGUCGGUGCGGCUGGUGUCGUUGGCGCUGCCGGUGUCGUGGGCGCAGCCGGGGUCGUGGGUGCAGCAGGCGUCGUUGGCGACUGCGCCACGGCGGCGCCGAGGUGGAGCGCGAGGACGGCGGCGAGCACGGCGAUGCGGCGCCAUUGCCGGAGCAGCGGCGGCGCGGCCAUGCUGUUGGCGCGGUGCGGAUGCCGAGCUAGCUCGCUGACGGGAAUGCGGUCGAUGGAUCUCGCGCCGACCGAUGAAGCAG
This 529-nucleotide long non-coding RNA is filed under the name Setaria italica (foxtail millet). RNAcentral's name for it is "long non-coding RNA (SITA_LNC003451)". The record is from RNAcentral. Lineage: Eukaryota; Viridiplantae; Streptophyta; Magnoliopsida; Poales; Poaceae.